This 142-nucleotide small nuclear RNA is filed under the name Ochotona princeps (American pika). Its description in RNAcentral is "U2 spliceosomal RNA (ENSOPRG00000022153.1)". The stretch from base 1 to 107 matches the Rfam family "U2 spliceosomal RNA". From Rfam's summary of the family: U2 is a small nuclear RNA (snRNA) component of the spliceosome (involved in pre-mRNA splicing). Complementary binding between U2 snRNA (in an area lying towards the 5' end but 3' to hairpin I) and the branchpoint sequence (BPS) of the intron results the bulging out of an unpaired adenosine, on the BPS, which initiates a nucleophilic attack at the intronic 5' splice site, thus starting the first of two transesterification reactions that mediate splicing. Lineage: Eukaryota; Metazoa; Chordata; Mammalia; Lagomorpha; Ochotonidae. The record is from RNAcentral.
AUCGCUUCUCGGUCUUUUGGCUAAGAUCAAGUGUAGUAUCUGUUCUUGUCAGUUUAAAUGGUUAACCUCGUUCGAGGCCAGUAAUACUUUCUCUUUAGACAACUCACGGUCACAUCCACACUCUGUUAGGAGUGCAAGCCAA